AAGAAUUGGCUCUGAGGGUGUGGUUGUUUGGCGGUUGGGGUGUGUUUGUGUGGGACGGCCUACAUGUGUUGAGUAAUCGAUGCGUGGUCGGGCUGACCUGCCUUAUGUGCGCUAACCAUUCACCAGGCAACGGUUAAACACCGACUCAGAACUGGAGCGAUCAAGGGGAAUCCGACUGUUUAAUUAAAACAAAGUGUUGUGAUGGCCUCAGCAGGUGUUGACACAACUUGAUUUCUGCCCAGUGCUCUGAAUGUCAAACUGGAGAUAAUAUGAGAAGCACAAAUUCAAGCAAGCGCGGGUAAACGGCGGGAGUAACUAUGAC
RNAcentral lists this ribosomal RNA (322 nucleotides) under Aurantiochytrium limacinum. RNAcentral describes it as "partial Eukaryotic large subunit ribosomal RNA". It matches the Rfam family "Eukaryotic large subunit ribosomal RNA", at positions 1943 to 2269 of the family's 3401-position model. The record is from RNAcentral. Lineage: Eukaryota; Bigyra; Thraustochytrida; Thraustochytriidae.